UCCCUCCCAUAUUUCCAAGGGGCCAAGAAACUCAUCUACUUGGACCUUUCACGUAAUGGUCUAACUGGUCUCUUGUCUAGAGCUCAUUUUGAAGGACUCUCAGAACUUGUCUACAUUAAUUUAGGGAACAAUUCACUCAACGGGAGCCUUCCUGCAUAUAUAUUUGAGCUCCCCUCGUUGAAGCAGCUUUUUCUUUACAGCAAUCAAUUUGUUGGCCAAGUCGACGAAUUUCGCAAUGCAUCCUCCUCUCCGUUGGAUACAGUUGACUUGAGAAACAACCACCUGAAUGGAUCGAUUCCCAAGUCCAUGUUUGAAGUUGGGAGGCUUAAGG
This 331-nucleotide unclassified non-coding RNA is filed under the name Hevea brasiliensis (rubber tree). The record is from RNAcentral. Lineage: Eukaryota; Viridiplantae; Streptophyta; Magnoliopsida; Malpighiales; Euphorbiaceae.